Molecule: ribosomal RNA, 403 nt
Filed under: uncultured bacterium
Lineage: Bacteria
Description: bacterial SSU rRNA
Rfam family: Bacterial small subunit ribosomal RNA
Source: RNAcentral
UUUUGGACAAUGGGCGCAAGCCUGAUCCAGCCAUGCCGCGUGAGUGAAGAAGGCCUUCGGGUUGUAAAGCUCUUUCGGUGAAGCCGAAACGGUUAGUGCUAAUAACACUGACUAAUGACGGUACUCACAGAAGAAGCACCGGCUAACUACGUGCCAGCAGCCGCGGUAAUACGUAGGGUGCAGGCGUUAAUCGGAAUUACUGGGCGUAAAGCGUGCGCAGGCGGUUUGCUAAGACAGGUGUGAAAUCCCCGGGCUUAACCUGGGAAUUGCGCUUGUAACUGGCAAGCUAGAGUGUGGCAGAGGGGGGUGGAAUUCCACGUGUAGCAGUGAAAUGCGUAGAUAUGGGAGGAACACCGAUGGCGAAGGCAGCCCCCUGGGUUAACAUUGACGCUCAUGCACGAAA